UUGCCAGCCGCUCAGAAACUUAAAUGAAUUGACGGGGCCCGCACAAGCGGAGGAGCAUGUGGUUUAAUUCGAUGAUACGCGAGGAACCUUACCUGGGCUCGAACGUAAGAUGACUGUAGGUGAAAGCUUACAUCUCUUCGGAGCAUUUUACGAGGUGCUGCAUGGUUGUCGUCAGCUCGUGCCGUGAGGUGUCGGGUUAAGUCCCAUAACGAGCGCAACCCCUACCUUUAGUUGCCAUCAGGUAAUGCUGGGGACUCUAAAGGAACUGCCUACGCAAGUAGUGAGGAAGGCGGGGAUGACGUCAAAUCAGCACGGCCCUUACGUCCAGGGCUACACACGUGCUACAAUGGCCGAUACAGAGGGCAGCUACCUGGUGACAGGAUGCAAAUCUCCAAAGUCGGUCUCAGUUCGGAUCGGAGUCUGCAACCCGACUCCGUGAAGUUGGAUUCGCUAGUAAUCGCGCAUCAGCCAUGGCGCGGUGAAUACGUUCCCGGGCCUU
RNAcentral lists this ribosomal RNA (499 nucleotides) under uncultured Sphingobacteriales bacterium. RNAcentral describes it as "bacterial SSU rRNA". It matches the Rfam family "Bacterial small subunit ribosomal RNA", at positions 903 to 1382 of the family's 1533-position model. Lineage: Bacteria; Pseudomonadati; Bacteroidota; Sphingobacteriia; Sphingobacteriales. The record is from RNAcentral.